GACGAACGCUGGCGGCGUGCCUAACACAUGCAAGUCGAACGGAAAGGCCGUGCUUUUGUGGGGUGCUCGAGUGGCGAACGGGUGAGUAACACGUGAGUAACCUGCCUUUUACUGUGGGAUAACUUCAGGAAACUGGUGCUAAUACCGGAUAGGAGCUGCUGCUGCAUGGUGGGGGUUGGAAAGUUUCGGCGGUUGGGGAUGGACUUGCGGCUUAUGAGCUUGUGGGUGGGGGAGUGGCUUAGCCAGGCUUUGGCGGGUAGCCGGCCUGAGAGGGUGACCGGCCACAGUGGGCCUGAGGUACGGCCCAGACGGCUACGGGAGGCAGCAGUGGAAAAUAUUGCACAAUGGGCGGAAGCCUGAUGCAGCGGCGCCGGGUGCGUGAUGACGGCUUUCGGGUUGUAAACCGCUUUAGCCUGUGACGAAGCGUGUGUGACGGUAAUGGGUAAAGAAGCACCGGCUAACUACGUG
RNAcentral lists this ribosomal RNA (468 nucleotides) under uncultured bacterium. RNAcentral describes it as "partial 16S ribosomal RNA". It matches the Rfam family "Bacterial small subunit ribosomal RNA", at positions 28 to 507 of the family's 1533-position model. The record is from RNAcentral.